GAUGAACGCUAGCUACAGGCUUAACGCAUGCAAGUCGAGGGGAAACGACAUCGAAAGCUUGCUUUUGAUGGGCGUCGACCGGCGCACGGGUGAGUAACGCGUAUCCAACCUGCCCACCACUUGGGGAUAACCUUGCGAAAGUAAGACUAAUACCCAAUGACGUCUCUAGAAGACAUCAGAAAGAGAUUAAAGAUUUAUCGGUGAUGGAUGGGGAUGCGUCUGAUUAGCUUGGUGGCCGGGUAACGGCCCACCAAGGCGACGAUCAGUAGGGGUUCUGAGAGGAAGGUCCCCCACAUUGGAACUGAGACACGGUCCAAACUCCUACGGGAGGCAGCAGUGAGGAAUAUUGGUCAAUGGGCGAGAGCCUGAACCAGCCAAGUAGCGUGCAGGAUGACGGCCCUAUGGGUUGUAAACUGCUUUUAUAAGGGAAUAAAGUGAGUCUCGUGAGACUUUUUGCAUGUACCUUAUGAAUAAGGACCGGCUAAUUCCGUGCCAGCCGCCGCCGUAA
This 508-nucleotide ribosomal RNA is filed under the name uncultured bacterium. RNAcentral's name for it is "partial 16S ribosomal RNA". It matches the Rfam family "Bacterial small subunit ribosomal RNA", at positions 28 to 523 of the family's 1533-position model. The record is from RNAcentral.